UUUAUCCUUAUUUCAUACCUUUUUAAAAAAAAUCAAAUAUAUGUGUUAAACACUAAAACAAGAGAAUAUGCGGAUUUUUUAUGAUUAAUUUUAUUGACUUUAAUUGUAAUGUGUAUAUAUUUGAGUUGUUUUAAAUAUGAAAAUCUAAAAUAAAAUAUAUUGAUAUCAAAAUAUGUUGUUUAAAAAAAAUUACAAUGAAAAAAAGAAAUAAAAAAAUGACGUUUUUAUAGACAAAGAUGGGUUAAAGUUAUGAAAGAUAAAACAAAUAUUGAAAAUAACGUUGAGCUACUUUUUUUUAGAAACAUGAAACCUAUUAGAUGGAUACAUGGCAAAAGAGCUAAGUUUGCUUUGAACAUUAUAGGAUGGGUUGAAGCACUCCAAAUGCAU
This 387-nucleotide long non-coding RNA is filed under the name Lathyrus oleraceus (garden pea). RNAcentral describes it as "Pisum sativum (pea) long non-coding RNA (PSAT_LNC041288)". The record is from RNAcentral. Lineage: Eukaryota; Viridiplantae; Streptophyta; Magnoliopsida; Fabales; Fabaceae.